UGGAGAAUAUUAGAUUUUCUUAAUGUUCUGUACGUUCCCUAGCAACUCGGUAACAGGACGUUGCCGAGAAUGAGACCUGAGCCAUGGAUGGCGAAUGUCGAAUGGUUGCGUUAAGUUGAGAAUACUUAAAUCAGAACAUUUAGAAAAUUUUAUAUUUG
RNAcentral lists this non-coding RNA (158 nucleotides) under uncultured Agathobacter sp. Lineage: Bacteria; Bacillati; Bacillota; Clostridia; Lachnospirales; Lachnospiraceae. The record is from RNAcentral.